This 699-nucleotide ribosomal RNA is filed under the name uncultured Novosphingobium sp. RNAcentral's name for it is "bacterial SSU rRNA". It matches the Rfam family "Bacterial small subunit ribosomal RNA", at positions 94 to 828 of the family's 1533-position model. Lineage: Bacteria; Pseudomonadati; Pseudomonadota; Alphaproteobacteria; Sphingomonadales; Sphingomonadaceae. The record is from RNAcentral.
AGUGGCGCACGGGUGCGUAACGCGUGGGAAUCUGCCCUUUGCUUCGGAAUAACUUCGGGAAACUGAAGCUAAUACCGGAUAAUGUCGCAAGACCAAAGAUUUAUCGGCAAGGGAUGAGCCCGCGUAGGAUUAGGUAGUUGGUGGGGUAAAGGCCUACCAAGCCGACGAUCCUUAGCUGGUCUGAGAGGAUGAUCAGCCACACUGGGACUGAGACACGGCCCAGACUCCUACGGGAGGCAGCAGUGGGGAAUAUUGGACAAUGGGGGCAACCCUGAUCCAGCAAUGCCGCGUGAGUGAUGAAGGCCUUCGGGUCGUAAAGCUCUUUUACCAGGGAUGAUAAUGACAGUACCUGGAGAAUAAGCUCCGGCUAACUCCGUGCCAGCAGCCGCGGUAAUACGGAGGGAGCUAGCGUUGUUCGGAAUUACUGGGCGUAAAGCGCGCGUAGGCGGCUACUCAAGUCAGAGGUGAAAGCCCGGGGCUCAACCCCGGAACUGCCUUUGAAACUAGGUGGCUAGAAUCUUGGAGAGGUCAGUGGAAUUCCGAGUGUAGAGGUGAAAUUCGUAGAUAUUCGGAAGAACACCAGUGGCGAAGGCGACUGACUGGACAAGUAUUGACGCUGAGGUGCGAAAGUGUGGGGAGCAAACAGGAUUAGAUACCCUGGUAGUCCACGCCGUAAACGAUGAUAACUAGCUGUCCGGG